AUGCCUGAUUGCUUCAUUUUUGUGCAUGAAGUGAACUGUUUUGGCUUUUCAAUGAGGCUUAUGCUUGGAGUAACACGCUUCAGUGGAUCUCUGAGUUUUUAUUCGUUACAGACACUGCUGAAGAGGCAACUUCCAUCUCAUAGACAUUCUGCAUUAUUCUUCUGCCGGUAUCAUGAAAGAACAGGUAUGCUGCCAGUCAGAGGUGCAAAUAUGCAUCUUUCCCCAGGACAUGAGCUGUCUGAGAGCCUGUAAUCAAUGACGUUGGUUCGCUGCCCACUGAACCCCUCUGGACAUGCUGACACCUGCUUCUGGAGACGUCUCCCUGCCUCGGUCCACCCACAGAUCAAUGGGACACGCGUCCGCUGUUGUACUCUGAUAUUCUAUAUUGACAGAUCGGUCUGUCGCUGUGAACUUUGCUCCAGUGUUACUGAUAUGAUUGGCAGGUUCAGUUCAGUUUUGACGUAUUGAUUUAACAUCUCCCCUUUUUUGACAUGUCUUGUGGGACGGGUUACGUGUCCCAGUGACAGUCGUUGGGAUCCCAAGAGCCUUGGACUGUUUGAGGCCAGAGGGAUAGAUCUGAUUGCUUUUCUCUCUACUGUGUUGAGAUGAGUCACUUUUGAUACUAGAGCAUAAGUUCAGCAGUUUAUUUGCCACUGAAGACUGGAGUAAUGAUGCUGAAAAUACAGCUGCACAUCACAGAAAUACAUUACAGUUUAACAGAGAUUCACACAGAAAACAGCUGUUUUACAUUCUAAUAAUAUUUUACAAUAUUACUUUGUUGUAUUUUUUUAAAUGCUAGUGUAUUUCUUUAUCUAUAUUAUCCCAAUUAGUCAACACUGCGCAGUUAUUUGAUAUAUUAAUGUUAAUAACAAACUUUUGUUUGCAAUAUCUCUAUAAUGUUAUUAAAAUUAAUUAGACUAUUAUGAAGGAUCGACCCCAAUUCCUGUAAAGAAUUAAUAAAACUGGUGAAUGUGAUUAGCAUGAUGUAGCUUAGUGAUUAGCAUUGGCUAAACCAACACACUGUGUGAUGUCAUCGAGUUCAGUUUGUGUUAUUUCCUGAUCUCCAGCCCCGCCAUUAUCCUGAUCCCGAAUCUAUCCAUUUUUUAACAAUUAAAAACUGAAGGAUAAAUGUGGAUGUGUAAGGGCAUUCACAUCCGAGGUCUGACAGACGGCGGUGGGCUCCGGGUCUGCUGUCCCGCUUCGGGCCGGACUCCUGCCACACACACACACGCACACACACACACACACACACACUGACACACACACUGACACACACACACACACACUGACACACACACUAAAACACACACACACUGACACACACACUAAAACACACACACACACACACACACACACACACACACACACACAAACACACACUGACACACACACACACACACACACACACACACUCACACUAAAACACACACACACACACACACACUAAAAACACACACACACACACACACACUAAAACACACACACACACACACAGACACACAAAAACACACACACACACACACACACACACACACACACACUAAAACACACACACACUAAAAACACACACACACACUACAACACACACGACACACACACACACACACACACACACACACACACACACUGACUGGAGAAAAGCCUGUUUCCAUAGUGAUCUGCUGUAUGAGUUUCCAUAAAUAGAGGCACCUGUGUCUAAUCGAUAAUGCUAAUAUUUAUACUGGAAAGCCUCUUAUGAUGGACGCUUCAUUCCAUUUGUGCCUGACCGGUCUGCGUCUGAUCCGCACGCCGCUUCAUGCGCUGUAACACUCACACGGACAGAUGGCCAUCGAUCUGUUAGUUAACCAUCAAAUUAAUCUUCUGUUUUAUAUACAACGGCUUCAUCAUAUCUGAUUAAACUACUGUUUACCGAGUGACAGAAAGCGUAUACUUUACCUGGAACUGCCAGAAUGCACUUGAUACAGAUCUGAAUGUCAACACAGAGACAAACACGUGUACACAAACACACCCGGGCCGCCGUGCACCUGCUGUUGUGAUUGAUACACUCUUAGACUGGUGGGAUAUGGGAUGACUGGUUAACAUGUAGCAUGAACCCGCUCAUCUGUGUAUGAGGGCUAGUUAAAAUGUGCUGCCAGUACAAACAGCUUUUUGUUUUAUGGUUCUUUAUUUGAACUUCACAUUUAUAGCAGCUGUAAACUUGUGCACAGGCUCGUGUCAGGCAGCAAUCAUGGACGGGGGGCCAGGCGCUGGUAAUCUCUGGGGUUUGGGGUCAGUAUCCCGCAGGGCGUCAAUGCCUGCAGCUGUCCCUGUAAUUCCCUGCACAAUGAACGCCUUGUUCUGAACUCUAAUCCACUGCCGUAAACAGCACAUGUGGAGCUGGCCUUGGGUUCACGCUCACCUCAGACAGGAACAGUCCUUUCAGAUGCUAAACUGGAGGAACAUGUUCUCCAACGUCAGCUGAAUUCAUUAGAUUCUUCAGAUCUUUCUGGAGGUUUACUGUUCAUUUGUGAAGCUUGUGUCACCACAGAUAACUCUUGAUCUUUCUGACUCUGAGGCACCUCACUGUCAAAGACAGCAUUUGAAGGCCCCUCAAGAUACUUAUGAUACUUUUGCUGUAAAAAAAAAAAAAAAAACUUGUUUUGUUUUUGUGUAGGGGUUGUGAUGUAAAUUAUUUUCCUAAAAUAUUUAAAUAGCUAUAGUAAUAGUAAUGUAGAUAAUAUAAUAACAGAGUAAAUAAUAAUACUAAAUAACAUUUAUGAUAUUUAAUUGGAUUUUUUAAUGUCCCUGAUUUAUUAAUAUUUAAUUGAAUUAAAAAUACAAUUAAAAAAAAAUCCAUAAUAACAGAAGCUGUUUCAAUAACUGAAUUUUUUUUUUUUUUUGUUUUCUUCAGGCUUUACACUAUUACUGAUGAAUUUAAAUGACUUUUAUUGUCAUUUGUCAAUGCAGGUUUUUUAUUUCUUUAUAUUUUUCACUCAUAAUUAGCGAUUUCGCAGUAAUUUUUACCAAAUGCAAUAUUUUAGAACUGGACAGCUAAUAUAUAUGUCCCUGAUUUAUUAUUAUUAUUUUUAUUCCCAUGACUUUUCCAGGUCUACAAAUCACACUUAAAAAGACAGGUGUUAAAAAAAUGAAUUAAAAAUGAAAAUUAAAAAAAAAAAAAAAAUGUACUUGAACUAAUAAAUAUGAUAUGAAAAAAACAAAACAAACAAACACACCAUUGAUUAAUUGGCUGGGAAAUGAUUGGAAACUGCUAACCUGCAAGAGUUUGAGAGCAGAUGCUGAAGACAGCUCAUGAUCCAGGACACUGCUGGGGUUUGUGGGUCACUCUUCUGCACC
Cyprinus carpio carpio is the source of this 3333-nucleotide long non-coding RNA. Lineage: Eukaryota; Metazoa; Chordata; Actinopteri; Cypriniformes; Cyprinidae. The record is from Ensembl.